This 107-nucleotide small nuclear RNA is filed under the name Panthera leo (lion). Lineage: Eukaryota; Metazoa; Chordata; Mammalia; Carnivora; Felidae. The record is from RNAcentral.
GUGCUUGCUUUGGUAGCACAUAUACUAAAAUUGGAACGAUACAGAGAAGAUUAGCACGGCCCCUGCACAAGGAUGACACACAAAUUCGUGAAGCUUCCAUAUUUAAA